This 71-nucleotide transfer RNA is filed under the name Spinomantis microtis. Its description in RNAcentral is "tRNA-Ile". It matches the Rfam family "tRNA". Rfam says of the family: Transfer RNA (tRNA) molecules are approximately 80 nucleotides in length. Their secondary structure includes four short double-helical elements and three loops (D, anti-codon, and T loops). Further hydrogen bonds mediate the characteristic L-shaped molecular structure. tRNAs have two regions of fundamental functional importance: the anti-codon, which is responsible for specific mRNA codon recognition, and the 3' end, to which the tRNAs corresponding amino acid is attached (by aminoacyl-tRNA synthetases). tRNAs cope with the degeneracy of the genetic code in two manners: having more than one tRNA (with a specific anti-codon) for a particular amino acid; and 'wobble' base-pairing, i.e. permitting non-standard base-pairing at the 3rd anti-codon position. Lineage: Eukaryota; Metazoa; Chordata; Amphibia; Anura; Mantellidae. The record is from RNAcentral.
GGAAACGUGCCCGAAAGACAGGGACCUCCUUGAUAGGGAGGCUUAUAUGGGUUCAAACCCCCUCGUUUCCU